This 493-nucleotide ribosomal RNA is filed under the name uncultured bacterium. RNAcentral describes it as "partial 16S ribosomal RNA". It matches the Rfam family "Bacterial small subunit ribosomal RNA", at positions 30 to 523 of the family's 1533-position model. The record is from RNAcentral.
AUUGAACGCUGGCGGCAUGCUUUACACAUGCAAGUCGAACGGUAACAGGUUAAGCUGACGAGUGGCGAACGGGUGAGUAAUGCAUCGGAACGUGCCCGAUCGUGGGGGAUAACGCAGCGAAAGCUGCGCUAAUACCGCAUACGAUCUGAGGAUGAAAGCGGGGGACCGUAAGGCCUCGCGCGAUCGGAGCGGCCGAUGUCAGAUUAGGUAGUUGGUGGGGUAAAGGCUCACCAAGCCAACGAUCUGUAGCUGGUCUGAGAGGACGACCAGCCACACUGGGACGGAGACACGGCCCAGACUCCUACGGGAGGCAGCAGUGGGGAAUUUUGGACAAUGGGCGCAAGCCUGAUCCAGCAAUGCCGCGUGCAGGAUGAAGGCCUUCGGGUUGUAAACUGCUUUUGUACGGAACGAAACGGUGAGCUUUAAUACAGUUUGCUAAUGACGGUACCGUAAGAAUAAGCACCGGCUAACUACGUGCCAGCCGCCGCCGUAA